RNAcentral lists this ribosomal RNA (682 nucleotides) under Bacillus atrophaeus. RNAcentral describes it as "bacterial SSU rRNA". It matches the Rfam family "Bacterial small subunit ribosomal RNA", at positions 70 to 736 of the family's 1533-position model. Lineage: Bacteria; Bacillati; Bacillota; Bacilli; Caryophanales; Bacillaceae. The record is from RNAcentral.
AGAUGGGAGCUUGCUCCCUGAUGUUAGCGGCGGACGGGUGAGUAACACGUGGGUAACCUGCCUGUAAGACUGGGAUAACUCCGGGAAACCGGGGCUAAUACCGGAUGGUUGUUUGAACCGCAUGGUUCAAACAUAAAAGGUGGCUUCGGCUACCACUUACAGAUGGACCCGCGGCGCAUUAGCUAGUUGGUGAGGUAACGGCUCACCAAGGCAACGAUGCGUAGCCGACCUGAGAGGGUGAUCGGCCACACUGGGACUGAGACACGGCCCAGACUCCUACGGGAGGCAGCAGUAGGGAAUCUUCCGCAAUGGACGAAAGUCUGACGGAGCAACGCCGCGUGAGUGAUGAAGGUUUUCGGAUCGUAAAGCUCUGUUGUUAGGGAAGAACAAGUACCGUUCGAAUAGGGCGGUACCUUGACGGUACCUAACCAGAAAGCCACGGCUAACUACGUGCCAGCAGCCGCGGUAAUACGUAGGUGGCAAGCGUUGUCCGGAAUUAUUGGGCGUAAAGGGCUCGCAGGCGGUUUCUUAAGUCUGAUGUGAAAGCCCCCGGCUCAACCGGGGAGGGUCAUUGGAAACUGGGGAACUUGAGUGCAGAAGAGGAGAGUGGAAUUCCACGUGUAGCGGUGAAAUGCGUAGAGAUGUGGAGGAACACCAGUGGCGAAGGCGACUCUCUGGUCUG